GGAUGCCUUGGCGAUAUCUGCCGACGAAGGACGUGACAAGCUGCGAAAAGCUGCGGAGAGAUGCAAAUAAUCGGCGACCCGCAGAUAUCCGAAUGGAGAAAUCCGGCUGUGAUGAUGCACAGCCAUCCAUGCCCAAGAGCAUGAGAAGGGAACCGGGCGAACUGAAACAUCUAAGUAACCCGAGGAAAAGAAAUCAAACGAGAUACCCCAAGUAGCGGCGAGCGAACAGGGAAGAAGCCCAAACCGGUGAAGGAAACUUUACCGGGGUUGAGGACCAUCAGACCCGCGAAGAACCUUAGCCGAAACUGUUGGGAAACAGUGCCGAAGACAGUGAAAGCCUGGUAGGCGAAAAAGAGAAACGCGGAGAUGGCACCAGAGUACCGCGGGACACGAGAAAUCCCGUGGGAAGCAGGGGGGACCACCCUCCAAGGCAAAACACAGAUAUCGACCGAUAGCGCAUAGUACCAUGAGGGAAAGGUGAAAAGCACCCCGGGAGGGGAAUGAAAGAGAACCUGAAACCGUAUGUUUACAAGCAGUCGGAGACCGCUUAAUAAUAAGGUCGACGGCGUGCCUAUUGAAGAAUGAACCGGCGAGUUACGAAGCCUGGCAAGGUUAAGCAGGAAAUGCGGAGCCGAAGCGAAAGCGAGUCUUAAGAGGGCGCAAGUCAGGAAGCGUAGACCCGAAACCACAGUGAUCUACCCAUGUCCAGGUUGAAACACAGGUAAAAAUGUGUGGAGGACCGAACCUAUAUCCGUUGAAAAGGGUUAGGAUGAGGUGUGGGUAGGGGUGAAAUUCCAAUCGAACGUGGAGAUAGCUGGUUCUCCCCGAAAUAGCUUUAGGGCUAGCCUGUGGGAAAAGAUUGCAGGCGGUAGAGCACUGAUCAGGAGAGGGACCUACCCGGUUACCAAACCCAGUCAAACUCCGAAUGGCUGCAAUCAUACCUGGGAGUCAGACUGCGACUAAUAAGGGCCGCAGUCAAAAGGGAAACAGCCCAGACCAUCAGCUAAGGUCCCCAAUGCCGUGCUAAGUGGCGAAGGAUGUGGCAUUUCAUAAACAACCAGGAUGUUGGCUCAGAAGCAGCCACCAUUUAAAGAGUGCGUAAUAGCUCACUGGUCGAGAGACGCUGCGCCGAAAAUGUCCGGGGCUCAAGCACGGAACCGAAGCUAUGGCAUGAUAGCAAUAUCAUGGGUAGGGGAGCGUUCUUAUAAGGAAGAAGCAUGACCGGAAGGACAUGUGGACAAAUAAGAAGUGAGAAUGCCGGUAUGAGUAUCGAAAAGAAAGGUGAGAAUCCUUUCCACCGAAAGCCCGAGGGUUCCUGAGCAACGAUCGUCGACUCAGGGUAAGUCGGGACCUAAGCCGAGGCGAAAAGCGUAGGCGAUGGACAACAGGUUGAAAUUCCUGUACCGGAUCAAGUCGAUUGAGCGAAGGAGCGACGCAGGAGGGCACAUGAUCGCGCGGCUGGAAGAGCGCGUCCAAGUGCGUAUGUUGCAGCAGAGGAAAACCCCUGCAGCUGAAAGCAGAGACAUGAAGGGGAGUUAAAGGAAACUUUGACGAACUCAUGAAUCCCACACUGCCAAGAAAAACUUCUAGCGAGACAAGAUCCGCCCGUACCGUAAACCGACACAGGUAGGCGGGGAGAGAAUCCUAAGGUGCGCGGGAAAACCCUCGUUAAGGAACUCGGCAAAUUGCAUCCGUAACCUAGGGAGAAGGAUGGCCCCCGGUCAGUGAAGAGCAGAAACGCUCAGAGCUAAAAGGGGCGGCAGAAAAGAGGCCCAAGCAACUGUUUACCAAAAACACAGGUGCCUGCGAAAGCGAAAGCUGAAGUAUAGGUGCUGACGCCUGCCCGGUGCCGGAAGGUUAAGGAGAGAAGUUAGCGAAAGCGAAGCAUCAAACUGAAGCCCCGGUAAACGGCGGCCGUAACUAUAACGGUCCUAAGGUAGCGAAAUUCCUUGUCGGGUAAGUUCCGACCCGCACGAAAGGCGUAAUGAUUUGGGCACUGUCUCAACGAGGGGCCCGGUGAAAUUGAAAUACCUGUGAAGAUGCAGGUUACCCGCGACUGGACAGAAAGACCCCAUGGAGCUUCACUGCAGCUUGAGAUUGAAUCCCGGUGACAGAUGCACAGGAUAGGUGGGAGGCGCCGAAGCAUUGCCCUAGGGCGGUGCGGAGCCGAUGUUGGGAUACCACCCUUCUGUUGCUGAGAUUCUAACGCGAGAGAGUAACGAAAUCCCUGGGACCCUGUCAGGCAGGCGGUUUGACUGGGGCGGUCGCCUCCGAAAGAGUAACGGAGGCGCC
Molecule: ribosomal RNA, 2292 nt
Filed under: human gut metagenome
Description: bacterial LSU rRNA
Rfam family: Bacterial large subunit ribosomal RNA
Source: RNAcentral